GAGGAAGGUGGGGAUGACGUCAAGUCAUCAUGGCCUUUAUGUCCAGGGCUACACACGUGCUACAAUGGCGCGUACAGAGGGAAGCCAAGCCGCGAGGUGGAGCAGACCCCAGAAAGCGCGUCGUAGUUCGGAUUGCAGUCUGCAACUCGACUGCAUGAAGUCGGAAUCGCUAGUAAUCGCGGAUCAGCAUGCCGCGGUGAAUACGUUCCCGGGCCUUGUACACACCGCCCGUCACACCAUGGGAGUGGAUUGUACCAGAAGCAGCUAGCCUAACCUUCGGGAGGGCGGUUACCACGGUAUGGUUCAUGACUGGGGUGAAGUCGUAACAAGGUAGCCGUAA
Molecule: ribosomal RNA, 340 nt
Filed under: uncultured bacterium
Lineage: Bacteria
Description: bacterial SSU rRNA
Rfam family: Bacterial small subunit ribosomal RNA
Source: RNAcentral